RNAcentral lists this ribosomal RNA (331 nucleotides) under uncultured bacterium. Its description in RNAcentral is "partial 16S ribosomal RNA". It matches the Rfam family "Bacterial small subunit ribosomal RNA", at positions 338 to 686 of the family's 1533-position model. The record is from RNAcentral.
CCUACGGGUGGCAGCAGUAGGGAAUAUUGCUCAAUGGGGGAAACUCUGAAGCAGCAACGCCGCGUGGAGGAUGAAGGUUUUCGGAUUGGAAACUCCUUUUGUUAGAGAAGAUAAUGACGGUAUCUAACGAAUAAUCACCGGCUAACUCCGUUCCAGCAGCCGCGGUAAUACGGAGGGUGCAAGCGUUACUCGGAAUCACUGGGCGUAAAGAGCGCGUAGGCGGGAUAGCAAGUCAGAUGUGAAAUCCUAUGGCUUAACCAUAGAACUGCACUUGAAACUGUUAGUCUAGAGUAUGAGAGAGGUAGGUGGAAUUCUUGGUGUAGGGGUAAAA